GACGAACGCUGGCGGCGUGCUUAACACAUGCAAGUCGAACGGAAAGGCCCUGCUUGCAGGGUACUCGAGCGGCGAACGGGUGAGUAACACGUGGGUGAUCUGCCCUGCACUUCGGGAUAAGCCUGGGAAACUGGGUCUAAUACCGGAUAGGAGCCAUUUUUAGUGUGAUGGUUGGAAAGUUUUUUCGGUGUAGGAUGAGCUCGCGGCCUAUCAGCUUGUUGGUGGGGUAAUGGCCUACCAAGGCGGCGACGGGUAGCCGGCCUGAGAGGGUGGACGGCCACAUUGGGACUGAGAUACGGCCCAGACUCCUACGGGAGGCAGCAGUGGGGAAUAUUGCACAAUGGGCGCAAGCCUGAUGCAGCGACGCCGCGUGGGGGAGGACGGCCUUCGGGUUGUAAACUCCUUUCGCUAGGGACGAAGCUUUUUGUGACGGUACCUAGAUAAGAAGCACCGGCUAACUACGUG
RNAcentral lists this ribosomal RNA (465 nucleotides) under uncultured bacterium. RNAcentral describes it as "partial 16S ribosomal RNA". It matches the Rfam family "Bacterial small subunit ribosomal RNA", at positions 28 to 507 of the family's 1533-position model. The record is from RNAcentral.